RNAcentral lists this small RNA (150 nucleotides) under Mytilus galloprovincialis (Mediterranean mussel). The record is from RNAcentral. Lineage: Eukaryota; Metazoa; Mollusca; Bivalvia; Mytilida; Mytilidae.
GUGAAAUCGAGAAAUCGAGAAAUUGGGAAAUUGGGAAAUUGGGAAAUCAAGAAAGCAAAAACGCACAUUUUCGCUUUCGUGUUUUCGCGUUUUUGCUUUCUAGAUUUCUCGAUUUCUCGAUUUCCCUAUUUCUCGAUUUUCCUAUUUUCC